CUCAAUCAGAGGUUUAUAGAGCCACGUGGGGACAUCACAUCUCCUGUCUACCAGGUCCUCACCAGAGACAGGACUGCCUUGGGCCAGGCCUGGGAUAGUCAGGGGUCACACUCGCCUGUUGGGACCUAGCAUCAGUGGCUUCAAUGUGGGCAAUGGCCUGAUGGGCGGCUGCCCCUUCUCUGCUUGGGGGAGGCAGGAGAGGAAGGUCAGGCAGGGGAUCUGCUUCCUGCCCACCUGAGGCUGGUUGGAAGCAGGAUGCCCACCUGUGCCUGUCUCACCUUGCUGCAGGUGCAUCGGAGACUGAACCCCUCUCCUGAUCUCCUGCAGGUGCAGAUUCCAGGUUUCCAAUGGGUGUUGGGGUGGGCUCCAGUGCUGUCCUGGCCCUAGGGAACCCUGGGCUCCAUAAGGCCUUGGCCUAGCCAGAUUGUUUUCCACACUGUCACCUCCCCAAACAUGGGGCUGCAUGCUCUGUGCCUUGGGUGGGACAUUGGAAGAAGUUCCACCUUCCAGGUUUGGAUCACAGUAAAGCCUCUGCCAUGGGGAUGUGCUGGCUGAGACAGAUGGGGUUGAACCAACCCUGUCACUUUGGCCUUGGGCAAGUCACCUGUGCCUUGCUUCCCUUUCCCCAGCAGCCAGAUGGGGAUAAUAGCACCUAUUUCACCUGUACUCAAGUGCUCACUUGUUAGCGGGAAUUGAGUCCCGGAGGAGGUGCAGGCAGAGCCAUGGAGGCAACACUGCAGCUGGACCUGGGCCUGAGUUGCAGCUCCUGGCUGUGAGAUGUGUCUCUUUCUCUGUUUAUUCAUCUGAAGGACAGGGCUGUGCUCUUCUGGGGUCACUGUGACAAUGCAGCUGGCCUGUGUGAGUUGGUGGUGGCCUCCUGAGAUGGUUUGAGGUGAGCUGGAGGUGUGUAUUGAAUGCCCCCUCACCCCUGUGGGGAAGACCCACUUAGGGAAGACUCAUGUGUCUGUAUGGAGGAAACCAGGUUCCCUGUCCCUCAGCUGUCAUCUGUCCCUUCCCAGCCCC
RNAcentral lists this long non-coding RNA (1023 nucleotides) under Macaca fascicularis (crab-eating macaque). RNAcentral's name for it is "lncRNA (ENSMFAG00000048385.1)". The record is from RNAcentral. Lineage: Eukaryota; Metazoa; Chordata; Mammalia; Primates; Cercopithecidae.